GAUGAACGCUAGCUACAGGCUUAACACAUGCAAGUCGAGGGGAAACGAUAUUGGAAGCUUGCUUCUGAUAGGCGUCGACCGGCGCACGGGUGAGUAACGCGUAUCCAACCUGCCCAUCACUUGGGGAUAACCUUGUGAAAGUAAGACUAAUACCCAAUGACGUCUCUAGAAGACAUCUGAAAGAGAUUAAAGAUUUAUCGGUGAUGGAUGGGGAUGCGUCUGAUUAGCUUGUUGGCGGGGUAACGGCCCACCAAGGCGACGAUCAGUAGGGGUUCUGAGNGGAAGGUCCCCCACAUUGGAACUGAGACACGGUCCAAACUCCCUACGGGGAGGCAGCAGUGAGGAAUAUUGGUCAAUGGACGAGAGUCUGAACCAGCCAAGUAGCGUGCAGGAUGACGGCCCUAUGGGUUGUAAACUGGCUUUUUAGUAAGGGAAUAAAGUGGGAGUCGUGACUC
Molecule: ribosomal RNA, 455 nt
Filed under: uncultured bacterium
Lineage: Bacteria
Description: bacterial SSU rRNA
Rfam family: Bacterial small subunit ribosomal RNA
Source: RNAcentral